GACAGCAGUCGCCACGGUAAUACGAAGGGUGCAAGCGUUACUCGGAAUUACUGGGCGUAAAGCGUGCGUAGGUGGUGGUUUAAGUCCGUUGUGAAAGCCCUGGGCUCAACCUGGGAAUUGCAGUGGAUACUGGGUCACUAGAGUGUGGUAGAGGAUAGUGGAAUUUCCGGUGUAGCAGUGAAAUGCGUAGAGAUCGGAAGGAACAUCUGUGGCGAAGGCGACUAUCUGGGCCAACACUGACACUGAGGCACGAAAGCGUGGGGAGCAAACAGGAUUAGAUACCCGCGUAGUCCCUGUCUCUUAUAC
RNAcentral lists this ribosomal RNA (306 nucleotides) under uncultured bacterium. Its description in RNAcentral is "partial 16S ribosomal RNA". It matches the Rfam family "Bacterial small subunit ribosomal RNA", at positions 507 to 807 of the family's 1533-position model. The record is from RNAcentral.